This 110-nucleotide ribosomal RNA is filed under the name Escherichia coli. Lineage: Bacteria; Pseudomonadati; Pseudomonadota; Gammaproteobacteria; Enterobacterales; Enterobacteriaceae. The record is from RNAcentral.
CCUGGCGGCCGUAGCGCGGUGGUCCCACCUGACCCCAUGCCGAACUCAGAAGUGAAACGCCGUAGCGCCGAUGGUAGUGUGGGGUCUCCUGGGUAUCAGCACCACUUUUU